UCCAAGGGAAACCGAUAAGUAAUCCGCUGGAGAGUACGCCAGCAACGGGGAAACUCAAAGGAAUUGAGGGGGGUCCGCACAAGCGGUGGAGACAUGUAGUUUAAUUCGAUGAUACGCGAGGAACCUUACCUGGACUAGAAUGUGCGAGAAGUAUUUAGAAAUAGAUACGCCAGCAAUGGCUCAAAACAAGGUACGGCAUGGCUGUCGUCAGUUCGUGCCGUGAGGGGUUGGGUUAAGUCCCGCAACGAACGCAACCCCUGUUGUCUGUUGCCAGCGAGUUAAGUCGGGGACUCAGACAAGACUGCCUACGCAAGUAGAGAGGAAGGAGGGGACGACGUCAAGUCAUCAUGGCCCUUACGUCCAGGGCAACACACGUGAUACAAUGGGCGAUACAGAGUGUUGCGAGCUAGUAAUAGUAAGCCAAUCACAAAAAGUCGGUUCACAGUUCGGAAUUGAGGUCUGC
This 463-nucleotide ribosomal RNA is filed under the name uncultured bacterium. RNAcentral's name for it is "bacterial SSU rRNA". It matches the Rfam family "Bacterial small subunit ribosomal RNA", at positions 846 to 1308 of the family's 1533-position model. The record is from RNAcentral.